Molecule: long non-coding RNA, 912 nt
Filed under: Dunaliella salina
Lineage: Eukaryota; Viridiplantae; Chlorophyta; Chlorophyceae; Chlamydomonadales; Dunaliellaceae
Description: long non-coding RNA (DSAL_LNC000444)
Source: RNAcentral
GGUAAAAGAAAAUUACAUAUGGGUGAUUGAAGUCUCUUAUCAAUAUGCCCUGUUGGACUGGAAGAGGGGACAAAAAAAUUGGAUAGAGCGGCAUGAUCAAAACAUACAGGAUAUGUAAUAUGGGCAUGGUGUAAAAGAGAGAAGAGUUCUAGAGAACAUAGAAAGUGAUCUGGACGAGAAUUAGAUAGAUUGUCAUAUCCUUUAUAUGUCCGUUGACCCGAGUCUCCAUCUACAUGUCCUGUAGUUAUGAGAAGCUUGUAAGUAGCUGCCAAAUCAAGGAAGCGUAUGCCCGCUCUGUUAACUUGAGAGCACCGAGAUUGCCUAUUAUGAGUAAGGUAAGGAUGUCGUGAGAGAAACUCAUAAUGUAUAUCAGAAAGUUCUUUUCUGUUGGCAAUAUGGGCAUUGAAAUCCUCACCAAUAAGAAUAUGUGGUGUUUGUGAAUAAGCCUGAAAAAUCUCUUCACCUAGGGAGAAGUAGAGAUUAUCGAUUUGUUCCGGUGAGGUAUUUUGGCUCUCAGGGUUCACAUAUGAAGCACAUAAGUAAACAUCUCUAUCCAGCCCAAACAGUUCCGCAUGUGCCCUAACCCAAAGAGUUUGUAAUUGAUCAGAGAUACAUAACAAGGUAAGGUAAUCUUGAUAAAUAGUGGUGGCAAUUAUAGCAACCCCAAAUCCUUUAUGUCCCUCCCUGCGAGAAGGUAUACGAGUGUGUCCAAGAAGAAAGUGCCUGGGAAGGUGUUGUAGGAGUCGUUCAUACUGAGAGGUCCUGGUCUCUUGCAGAAAAAUGAUAUGAUGUGAAGAAAUAAUACGAACCAGGUUCUCCAGUUUGAUUGAUUCAGGGUCAGCAGGUAUACCAUCACAGUUAAGGGUAACAAAGGAAAGUGGAGACUGGAGGCCAACCACCUAUUGGGUGCCA